GAAACUCAAGCUAAUACCGCAUACGCCCUACGGGGGAAAGCGGGGGACCUUCGGGCCUCGCGCUAUUGGAUGAGCCUAUGUCAGAUUAGCUUGUUGGUGGGGUAACGGCCUACCAAGGCGACGAUCUGUAGCUGGUCUGAGAGGACGAUCAGCCACACUGGGACUGAGACACGGCCCAGACUCCUACGGGAGGCAGCAGUGGGGAAUAUUGCACAAUGGGCGAAAGCCUGAUGCAGCAAUGCCGCGUGUGUGAAGAAGGCCUGCGGGUUGUAAAGCACUUUCAGUGGGGAGGAAACAGUUGCGGGUUAAUAUCCCGCGACCUUGACGUUACCCACAGAAGAAGCACCGGCUAACUCUGUGCCAGCAGCCGCGGUAAUACAGAGGGUGCGAGCGUUAAUCGGAAUUACUGGGCGUAAAGCGCGCGUAGGCGGCUUGGUCAGUCGGAUGUGAAAGCCCCGGGCUUAACCUGGGAAUUGCAUUCGAUACUGCCUGGCUAGAAUGUAGUAAAGGGAAGUGGAAUUCCAGGUGUAGCGGUGAAAAUGCGUAGAUAUCUGGAGGAACAUCAGUGG
RNAcentral lists this ribosomal RNA (569 nucleotides) under uncultured bacterium. RNAcentral's name for it is "bacterial SSU rRNA". It matches the Rfam family "Bacterial small subunit ribosomal RNA", at positions 153 to 715 of the family's 1533-position model. The record is from RNAcentral.